RNAcentral lists this long non-coding RNA (223 nucleotides) under Brassica napus (rape). RNAcentral describes it as "long non-coding RNA (BNAP_LNC000047)". Lineage: Eukaryota; Viridiplantae; Streptophyta; Magnoliopsida; Brassicales; Brassicaceae. The record is from RNAcentral.
GAGGCCCGAGCUGGUGAUGAAAUCCAUCGUACCAGUUGUUAUGGCUGGUGUGUUGGGUAUCUACGGUUUGAUUAUUGCUGUUAUCAUCAGUACUGGUAUUAACCCCAAGGCUAAGUCUUACUACCUCUUCGAUGGUUACGCUCACCUCUCCUCCGGCCUUGCUUGUGGUCUUGCUGGUCUCUCCGCUGGUAUGGCCAUUGGGAUCGUCGGUGAUGCCGGUGUC